This 611-nucleotide ribosomal RNA is filed under the name Blautia sp. An81. RNAcentral describes it as "bacterial LSU rRNA". It matches the Rfam family "Bacterial large subunit ribosomal RNA", at positions 190 to 808 of the family's 2925-position model. Lineage: Bacteria; Bacillati; Bacillota; Clostridia; Lachnospirales; Lachnospiraceae. The record is from RNAcentral.
GAACUGAAACAUCUAAGUAGCCGGAGGAGGAGAAAGAAAACUCGAUUUCCUGAGUAGCGGCGAGCGAAAGGGAAAGAGCCCAAACCAGCGUGCGUGCAUGCUGGGGUUCGGACCGCGGAUGUGAUCCUUUGAUCUUACCGGAAUGGUUUUGGGAAAGCCAGCCGGAGAGGGUGAAAGCCCCGUACGGGAAAAGAGAGAAGGCACAGCGGGAUCCAGAGUAGGUCGAGACACGUGGAACCUUGACUGAAGGAGCGGGGACCACCCCGUAAGGCUAAAUACUCCUUGGUGACCGAUAGCGCAUAGUACUGUGAAGGAAAGGUGAAAAGGACCCCGGGAGGGGAGUGAAAGAGAACCUGAAACCCUGUGUUUACAAGCUGUGGAACACCUUUAUAUGGUGAACCGCGUACUUUUUGUAGAACGGUCCGGCGAGUUGCGCAUGCAGGCAAGGUUAAGCACUAAAGGUGCGGAGCCGUAGGGAAACCAAGUCUUAAUAGGGCCAGAGUCGGUAUGCGCAGACCCGAAACCGGGUGACCUAUCCAUGUCCAGGUUGAAGCUGCCGUAAAAGGCAAUGGAGGACCGAACCCACAUCCGUUGAAAAGGGUGGGGAUGAG